Molecule: ribosomal RNA, 1943 nt
Filed under: human gut metagenome
Description: bacterial LSU rRNA
Rfam family: Bacterial large subunit ribosomal RNA
Source: RNAcentral
UUAAGCUAUAAAGAGCAUAGGGUGGAUGCCUAGGCACUGAGAGCCGACGAAAGACGUGAUAAGCUGCGAUAAGCUGCGGUAAGGAGCAAAUAUCCAUUGACCCGCAGAUUUCUGAAUGGGGAAACCUACGCAAGAAGACCUUGCGUACUCAUACAUGAAUACAUAGUGUAUGAGAGGGAACCCGGGGAACUGAAACAUCUAAGUACCCGGAGGAAGAGAAAGAAACAUCGAUUUCCUGAGUAGCGGCGAGCGAAAGGGAAAGAGCCCAAACCAGAGGAUUUAUCCACUGGGGUUAGGACUGCAUAAUUGAUCUGCAAUUGAUAGGAGAACGGUCUGGGAAGUCCGGCGAGAAAGCGUGAAAGCCGCGUAUCCGAAAUCGAAAGCAGCAAGGCAGGAUCCAGAGUACCACGAGACACGAGAAACCUUGUGGGAAUGAGCGGAGACCACUCCGUAAGGCUAAAUACUACUCAGUGACCGAUAGCGCAUAGUACUGUGAAGGAAAGGUGAAAAGGACCCCGGGAGGGGAGUGAAAGAGAACCUGAAACCCUGUGUUUACAAGCUGUCGAAGCACGCAAGUGCGACGGCGUACUUUUUGUAGAACGGUCCGGCGAGUUAUGAUGAGUGGUAAGGUUAAGGACUUAAGGUCCGGAGCCGAAGCGAAAGCGAGUGUUAAAAGCACGGUUGAAUCGCUUAUCAUAGACCCGAAACCGGGUGAUCUAUCCAUGUCCAGGUUGAAGCUGCCGUAAGAGGUAGUGGAGGACCGAACACACAUCCGUUGAAAAGGGUGGUGAUGAGGUGUGGAUAGGGGAGAAAUUCCAAUCGAACCCGGAGAUAGCUGGUUCUCCUCGAAAUAGCUUUAGGGCUAGCCUCUGGUUAGUCUGCCGCAGGUAGAGCACUGAAUUUCCUAGGGGGCGUCAAAGCCUACCGAAGAAUAUCAAACUGCGAAUGGCGGACAGAUGAUGCCAGGGAGUCAGACUGCACGAGAUAAGUUGGGUGGUCAAAAGGGAAAGAGCCCAGACCUACAGCUAAGGUCCCAAAGUGUGUGUUAAGUGGAAAAGGAUGUGGGAUUUCGAAGACAACUAGGAUGUUGGCUCAGAAGCAGCCACACAUUAAAAGAGUGCGUAAUAGCUCACUAGUCGAGAGGUCCUGCGCCGAAAAUGUCCGGGGCUAAAACACAACACCGAAGCUUAGGAAUUCUAAUGAAUUGGUAGAGGAGCAUUGAAGACGGAACGAAGCCAUACCGUAAGGAAUGGUGGACUGUCUUGAAGAGAGAAUGCCGGAAUGAGUAGCGAGAUUGAAGUGAGAAUCUUCAAGGCCGAAUAUCUAAGGUUUCCAGGGUAAAGCUGAUCUGCCCUGGGUAAGUCGGGGCCUAAGGCAAGGUCGAAAGACGUAGUCGAUGGAUAACAGGUUGAAAUUCCUGUACUGCAUCAAAUCAGAAAUGUGGGGACACAUGAGGGAAGCAUGAGCCGGAAAAGGAAAGUCCGGUACAAGCGCAGCAGAGGACAGAUAGGCAAAACCGUCUGUCAACUCAAGGGCGUGAUGUGGAGCGAACCAAAGUAGCGAAGCAUGUGGAGCUUGUGUCGAGAAAAGCCGCUAUAGUGUUUGAUGUACCCGUACCGUAAACCGACACAGGUGGAUGAGGAGAGAAUCCUAAGGCCGGCGGGAGAAGCAUUGUUAAGGAACUCGGCAAAAUGACCCCGUAACUUCGGGAGAAGGGGUGCUCCAGAGAUGGAGCCGCAGAGAACUGGCCCAAGCAACUGUUUAGCAAAAACACAGGUCUAUGCAAAACCGAAAGGUGAGGUAUAUGGGCUGACGCCUGCCCGGUGCUGGAAGGUUAAGAGGAGAUGUUAAUCGCAAGGUGAAGCAUUGAAUUUAAGCCCCAGUAAACGGCGGCCGUAACUAUAACGGUCCUAAGGUAGCGAAAUUCCUUGUCGGGUAAGUUC